UGGAAGUAAAGUCGUAACAGGUUCGUAGGUGAACCUGCGAAGAUCAUAAAAAUAUCACAGUUUUUGUGAUUUAAUAUCAUCCUACCUUUGUGAAUUUGUUUUGUAUGAAAAUUUAUGUGUCUAUCCCUGAUGGUUUUCUGGAAAAGUUGAAAAACUUUUUCAAUCCUCAGGGACUAGGCUUUCAUAGACCUUUUUUUUAAAUUAACUUUUGUAUUCAUUGUCUAAAUUUAUUUUUAAUAAUUUAAAAACAACUUUUGACAAUGGAUCCUUGGUUCUCGCAACGAUGAAGAACGCAGCAAAUGCGAUAAGUAAUGUGAAUUGCAGAAUACGUGAAUCAUCAAAUCUUCGAACGCAUAUUGCACUUUUUAGUUUACUAAAAAGUGUCUGUUUGAGUAUCAGUAAAUAUUCUCAUAAAACAUUGUUUUUAUGGUUAUGAGUGUUUACAACGAUAACAAGUUGUUUCACUUUAAAUUGAUUUUAAAUAACCAAUUUGGUUUUAUUAUAAAAUUGAUAAAAUUUCCCGUAAAAGGAAUAACUUUUCAGUUUUAAAUAAAUCUUAAUUGACUUUUUAAAAGGAAAUUUAUUAAAUAACUUGAUCUCAAAUCAGAUAAGAGUACCCGCUGAACUUAAGCAUAUCAAUAAGCGAGGAAAAGAAACUAACAAGGAUUCCCUUAGUAACGGCGAGUGAAGCGGGAAGAGCUCAAAUUUGAAAUCUUCAGGUUCUACCUGACGAAUUGUAGUUUAUAGAAGUGUUUCUGUUAGUGAGUGGCAAAAGUUCUUGGAAUAGGACAUCAUAGGGUGAGAAUCCCGUAUUUGGUCAUUCUCUAGCUUUGUGAUACACUUUCAACGAGUCGGAUUGUUGGGAAUGCAGUCCAAAUGGGUGUAAAUUUCAUCUAAGCUAAAUAUUGGCGAGAGACCGAUAGCGAACAAGUACCGUGAGGGAAAGAUGAAAAACUUUGAAAGAGAGUUAAACAGUACGUGAAAUUGUCAAAAGGGAAGCGUUUGACACCAGUGUUGUUUUCCGAAAUCAAUUACGAAGUUUUUUUUAAGAGUUAUGACUUCAUCGGCUUGCUCUUUCUUUACGAAACUUUCUUAAUGCACUUUCGGUUAACAAGUCAACAUCAAUUUCUUUGUUGUAAAGGUAUGAGGAAGGUGCUUUCUUUUCGGAGAAAUGUUUAUAGCUUGUACCCUGCAAUCGGAGAGAUUGAGGUCUGCAGCGUAAUCCUUCGGGUUAGAUACAUUUGUGCUAAGUUAUAGCUUUCAUAGACACUUGUUGACUAUGUUAGUCUUGUAGCUUACUCGCUGAUGCUAUUUUACCUACGCUUAGGAUGUUGAA
This 1336-nucleotide unclassified non-coding RNA is filed under the name uncultured Neocallimastigales. Its description in RNAcentral is "partial contains internal transcribed spacer 1, 5.8S ribosomal RNA, internal transcribed spacer 2, and large subunit ribosomal RNA". The stretch from base 594 to 1336 matches the Rfam family "Eukaryotic large subunit ribosomal RNA", at positions 1 to 630 of the family's 3401-position model. The record is from RNAcentral. Lineage: Eukaryota; Fungi; Neocallimastigomycota; Neocallimastigomycetes; Neocallimastigales.